UACGUAGGGCGCAAGCGUUGUCCGGAAUUAUUGGGCGUAAAGAGCUCGUAGGCGGCUUGUCGCGUCUGUUGUGAAAGCCCGGGGCUUAACCCCGGGUCUGCAGUGGAUACGGGCAGGCUAGAGGCAGGUAGGGGAGAACGGAAUUCCCGGUGUAGCGGUGAAAUGCGCAGAUAUCGGGAGGAGCACCGGUGGCGAAGGCGGUUCUCUGGGCAUGUUCUGACGCUGAGGAGCGAAAGUGUGGGGAGCGAACAGG
This 253-nucleotide ribosomal RNA is filed under the name uncultured bacterium. RNAcentral describes it as "partial 16S ribosomal RNA". It matches the Rfam family "Bacterial small subunit ribosomal RNA", at positions 524 to 776 of the family's 1533-position model. The record is from RNAcentral.